CCUCCUGAUUAGUGAGGGAUAGAGACACGUGCCAUUGGUGCCUGAAUGUUUUUAUGUGUUUGUUUUCACUUGGUAUAUGUAGAUAGACAUACACAUUUUCCUUAAUUGUUAAUGCAAGUUGGUGAUGUUAUUAUUGUCCCCUUUUUACAGCUAAGAAAGUGGGGGGGAAAAAAGGUACAUUUACUUGCACAGUAUCUAGCAGCUGAUAAAUGGCAGGACCUGAAUAUAAAACUGAGUCCUGCUUGCUUUUUCCCGUAGUGCACAGUCUUGUCAUUUCCUUGGCUGGCGUGUCACUGACCUAAAAUAAUUGUGUUUGGAGAAUGCAGGCGGAUUUUAAUAGGGGUGGAACUGGUCAGUGCUGUAACUCAGACGCAUAGUAAAUAUUUAGAGACUUUAUUAGGGGUUUGCUCUCAGCACCACAUUAACGAGGCUUUCUGCAGCUGGCUGAGGAUUUAUUUUUGUAAGGCAUGAGUGGGAGAGGAGUUUGACAUGUCUGAGUUCAGAGAAAACACUUGAUGACACUAGAAGUAGUCUCCUUAGCACAGGAAUGAAUUAUUGGUUUGUCAUUGAAUCACCCUGAGCCUUUGGACAGGUCAGGGUUUUAUAAUUGAACGUAUGAAUAGAAAGCAUAGCAGGUGCUUUCCUGGGCUGUAGAGACAAGGGACCCAGUGAGGUUAGACACAUGGAUGGUUGGCUCUUCAAAUACCAGGGUGAGAUGGGUGCAGUCUGUCACUAUAUCUCCCAUCUAGGUAAAUAGAAGUUUUGAAAAACAAUUAUAUAAUUUUCCUUCCUUGCUGUCCUUGGGUAGUACAGAAGCUCAAUAUCCUUAUUUUGAGGAUCUUAUUGCUCCAAUCAAUCCACUUCUAACAGUCUCUUUACCAGGUCCAGCUGAAAACUGUGGACAGAUGUUCUGCUAUUUGCAAUUAUCUCAGGGCCUGAGACUGGUAUCUGCUUAUUUAAUGACUUCACUUUCUAAUAAAAAAAAAUUCUGUGUGGCAUAGAUAAUUAGAUUUUUUAAAUGAAACUGGGAAAUGGAGUGCCCCAAAGAAUUUAAUUGCAGUUUUAUGAGAGAUGGAGCAUAAAAGCGGAACCAUUCAUUCCUAUAACAGAUGU
Perognathus longimembris pacificus (Pacific pocket mouse) is the source of this 1113-nucleotide long non-coding RNA. RefSeq lists it as uncharacterized. The record is from RefSeq and is a predicted model, not a curated record. The transcript is spliced from 3 exons. NCBI's taxonomy places the organism in Eukaryota, Metazoa, Chordata, Mammalia, Rodentia, Heteromyidae.